Photinus pyralis (common eastern firefly) is the source of this 722-nucleotide long non-coding RNA. RefSeq lists it as uncharacterized. NCBI's taxonomy places the organism in Eukaryota, Metazoa, Arthropoda, Insecta, Coleoptera, Lampyridae. The record is from RefSeq and is a predicted model, not a curated record. The transcript has 3 exons.
UGGUUAAGGACAUAAAAUAAAUCAAAAGAGACAAAGAAACCAAAAAAAGGAAACUAAUAGCCCUAACCACGGCUGCGGCUGCUCACGGAGAGACUAGGGAGCCGUGCCCAAAAAUUAGAAAAUAGCCCUCUGGUGGUCGAGGAAGCUAAGGAAAAAAUAAGACAAACAGUGGAAGAUUGUUUAAAUAUUUUUGGAAAUAAAGACGGCGUGUAUAAAUUGAUGAUUUAGAUCCCCAAACUAUGGGCGGGUCUCAAAGUAAUAUAUUUUUCAAGCUUAUCGAUAUCAAUUGAAUGAGAAUAAAUCCCAAUAAACUUGGCUGGCAAAAUUGAAACUUCCGCACCUCAUGCACGCAUUAGGGACGAUUAUUGAAUAGCCUUUGGAAAAUAACAAAAAGCAAAAACACGUAAUCAAGGACAAAAUUUGGGGAAAAUCAAAAAGUAACGGGCACUAGGCAGAAGUAACAAAAAGGCGGGAAAAUUUUUACAGCAAACAGACAUUAAAGGAUACUACAAAGAAACCAAAGAUGAGACACAGAACAUAGAAAGCAGGGAGCAAAAGAAUUAGAAAGAGAGUAAAAACGGAGCAAGGAAAAUAAAGGCUAAUUUCAAUAUAAUUUGCAAUCACAAAAAUAAAAGGAAUUCUACUCUCACCAUUGGUACGAAAGCAAAUAACAAAAUCUCAACUGAUUAUGUAGCUCAGUGUGGGCUACAUAAUAGCCGGAU